GAUGAACGCUGGCGGCGUGCCUAACACAUGCAAGUCGAGCGAUUCUCUUCGGAGAAGAGCGGCGGACGGGUGAGUAACGCGUGGGUAACCUGCCCUGUACACACGGAUAACAUACCGAAAGGUAUGCUCAUACGAGAUAAUAUGCCUUUGUCGCAUGGUAGCAGUAUCAAAGCUCCGGCGGUACAGGAUGGACCCGCGUCUGAUUAGCUAGUUGGUAAGGUAACGGCUUACCAAGGCGACGAUCAGUAGCCGACCUGAGAGGGUGAUCGGCCACAUUGGAACUGAGACACGGUCCAAACUCCUACGGGAGGCAGCAGUGGGGAAUAUUGCACAAUGGGCGAAAGCCUGAUGCAGCAACGCCGCGUGAGCGAUGAAGGCCUUCGGGUCGUAAAGCUCUGUCCUCAAGGAAGAUAAUGACGGUACUUGAGGAGGAAGCCCCGGCUAACUACGUGCCAGCAGCCGCGGUAA
This 468-nucleotide ribosomal RNA is filed under the name uncultured bacterium. RNAcentral describes it as "partial 16S ribosomal RNA". It matches the Rfam family "Bacterial small subunit ribosomal RNA", at positions 28 to 523 of the family's 1533-position model. The record is from RNAcentral.